AGUCCUGAAGUAUAUAAAUUUACGUAUGAUUGCAAAUCAUAAGAAGGAGAAAGGACCUCCCUGGGCUU
This 68-nucleotide transfer RNA is filed under the name Narke japonica (Japanese sleeper ray). RNAcentral's name for it is "tRNA-Cys". Lineage: Eukaryota; Metazoa; Chordata; Chondrichthyes; Torpediniformes; Narkidae. The record is from RNAcentral.